RNAcentral lists this ribosomal RNA (305 nucleotides) under uncultured bacterium. RNAcentral describes it as "bacterial SSU rRNA". It matches the Rfam family "Bacterial small subunit ribosomal RNA", at positions 336 to 639 of the family's 1533-position model. The record is from RNAcentral.
UUCCUACGGGGCGCAGCAGUGAGGAAUAUUGGUCAAUGGACGGAAGUCUGAACCAGCCAUGCCGCGUGCAGGAAGACGGCUCUAUGAGUUGUAAACUGCUUUUGUACAAGGGUAAACCUGAAUACGUGUAUUCAGCUGAAAGUACUGUACGAAUAAGGAUCGGCUAACUCCGUGCCAGCAGCCGCGGUAAUACGGAGGAUCCAAGCGUUAUCCGGAUUUAUUGGGUUUAAAGGGUGCGCAGGCGGCACGGCAAGCCGGCGGUCAAAUCGCGGGGCUCAACCCCGCCCAGCCGUCGGAACUGCCGG